ACCACAGAGGUGCGGAAAAUGAUGUCCUGGGGGAGUUGCAUCACAUUUCUCAUGUCUGGGGGAGUUAAGAAAUCACCUCUGCAGAGAUGUUCUGGAGGAACAUUUAUUCUGGCCUGUUUUCUACAAUCCUCUCGGGAAAGUUAAACUGGCUAAUGAGCACUGGACUAGGAGACGGUGUCAAAUCCCGCCUCUGCCAUCUUCUUCUUCUUGUUUUACCUGCAAAUGUCUCAUUUUCCACUGCAACUGCUUGCAGCUGUAUCCCUCCACAAAUGGAAACAGAAUGCUCGCAGCAACCACCACCAAACGUAUAA
Molecule: long non-coding RNA, 311 nt
Filed under: Callithrix jacchus (white-tufted-ear marmoset)
Lineage: Eukaryota; Metazoa; Chordata; Mammalia; Primates; Cebidae
Description: lncRNA (ENSCJAG00000072757.1)
Source: RNAcentral